This 74-nucleotide transfer RNA is filed under the name Xylariaceae sp. FL0255. RNAcentral's name for it is "tRNA-Val". It matches the Rfam family "tRNA". From Rfam's summary of the family: Transfer RNA (tRNA) molecules are approximately 80 nucleotides in length. Their secondary structure includes four short double-helical elements and three loops (D, anti-codon, and T loops). Lineage: Eukaryota; Fungi; Ascomycota; Sordariomycetes; Xylariales; Xylariaceae. The record is from RNAcentral.
GGUCCGAUGGUGUAGUUGGUUAUCACGUCAGUCUAACACACUGAAGGUCUCCGGUUCGAGCCCGGGUCAGAUCA